CCUACGGGUGGCAGCAGUGAGGAAUAUUGGUCAAUGGUCGGGAGACUGAACCAGCCAAGCCGCGUGAGGGAGGAAGGUACAGAGUAUCGUAAACCUCUUUUGUCAGGGAACAAAGACUGGGACGCGUCCCCGGAUGAGUGUACCUGAAGAAAAAGCAUCGGCUAACUCCGUGCCAGCAGCCGCGGUAAUACGGAGGAUGCGAGUGUUAUCCGGAUUUAUUGGGUUUAAAGGGUGGGCAGGCGGUCUGUUAAGUCAGCGGGCAAAGCCCGGGGCUCAACCCCGGCCCGCCGUUGAAACUGGCAGUCUCGAGUUGGAGAGAAGUAUGCGGAAUGCGCGGUGUAGCGGUGAAAUGCAUAGAUAUCGCGCAGAACUCCGAUUGCGAAGGCAGCAUGCCGGCUCCACACUGACGCUGAGGCACGAAAGCGUGGGUAUCGAACAGGAUUAGAUACCCGAGUAGUC
This 459-nucleotide ribosomal RNA is filed under the name uncultured bacterium. RNAcentral describes it as "partial 16S ribosomal RNA". It matches the Rfam family "Bacterial small subunit ribosomal RNA", at positions 338 to 795 of the family's 1533-position model. The record is from RNAcentral.